CUCGGAGCGAUGUUGAUGCAGGACUGUAGGGUGAUUGCCAACGCAUCCAAACAGUUGAAGAUACAUGAGAAGAAUUACCUUGUCUAUGACCUUCAGUUAGCUGCCAUUGUUACGCCCCGAAGAUUUGGCGCCAUUAUCUAUUUGGUGUGCCUUGUGAGAUUUAUACUGACCAUCGGAGCUUGCAAAACCUGUUCAAGCAAAAGGAUCUAAAUUUGCGUUAGAGGAGGUGGUUAGAUUUACUGAAGAAAUAUGAUAUUACUAUUCUAUAUCACCCGGGUAAGGCCAAUGUAGUGGAAAAUGCUUUGGGUCGCCGGGAAGGAGUAUGGCUUAUCUACCAGCAUUAGAGAGGCCUAUGGCAAUUGAUGUUCAUGCCUUAGCCAUCCAGUUUAUGAGAUUGGAUCUUUUAGAGCCUAAUAGGGUAUAGCUACGUGGUUUCUCGGUCUUUCUUAUUUGAUUGUAUUAGGGAGCGGCAAUAUGAUAACUCUUAUUAGCUUCUCCUCAAGGACAAGGUUCAGCAUGGUGAUGCCAGAGAUAUUACCAUUGGCUAGGACGGAGAGUUGAGGAUGCAGGGUCGGGUUUGUGUACUCAAUGUUGACGAGCUUCGGGAGCGGAUUAUAGAGGAAGCCUACAAUUCAUAAUAUUCAAUCUAUCCGGGUGCUGCGAAGAUGUAACAAGAUUUGAGGCAGCACUAUUGCUGGAGGAGAAUGAAGAAAGAUAGAGUUAGGUUUGUAGCUCGGUGCCUUAACUGUCAGCAUGUGAAAUAAGAGCACCAGAGACCGGGUGGAUUGCUUCAGCAGAUAGAGAGUCCUGAGUAGAAGUGGGAGCGAAUCACCAUGUACUUUGUAGUUGGUCUCCCGUGGACAUUGAGAAAGUUUGACGCUUUUCUGGUGAUUGUGGAUCAGUUGACCAAGUCCGCUCAUUUACUACUUUUAUGUACUACUUGUUCUUCGAAGUGGUUGGUGGAGAUUUAUAUCCAGGAAAUUGCUCGUCUGGAUGGUAUUCCAGUCUUUAUCAUUUAGGAUAGAGGUACUCAGCUUACACCACGAUUUUGGAGGGCCGUUCAACUUGAGUUGGGUACUCGGUUAGAGUUGAGUACAAUAUUUCACUCUCAGAUAGACGGCCAGUCCGAGCGCACUAUUUAAAUUUUUGAGGAUAUGCUCCGUGCGUGUUUGAUCGAGUGUGGAGUGUCUUGGGAUCAGUUCUUACCAUUGGCGGAGUUUUCUUACUAACAACGUUUAUAAGUCAAACGUUCAGAUAGCACUGUAUGAGGCUUUGUAUGGUCGACGGUGUAGAUCCCUAGUGGAUUGGUUCGAGCCCGGUGAGGCUAGAUUACUCGGCACAGACUUAGUUUAGGAUGCUUUGAAGAAUGUUAAGGUGAUUAAGGAUAGACUCCAUACAGCCCAGUCCAGACAGAAGAGUUAUGUGGACCGAAAGGUUUGUGAUGUUUCCUAUAUGGUUAGAGAGCAGGUUCUGCUUCGAGUUUCUCCUAUGAAGGGCGUUAUGAGGUUUUUGAAGAAAGGGAAGUUGAGUCUGAGGUUUAUUAUCCCUUUUUAGAUAUUGAGGCGAGUUGGGAGUUUACUUAUGAGCUUGCCUUACCUCCCAACUUGGCAAGAGUUCAUCCGGUAUUUCAUGUUUCGAUGCUCUAUUGGUAUCAUGGUGAUAUGUCACACGCGUUGGAUUUAAGUUUAGUCCAGUUGGACAAGGAUCUAUCAUAUGUUUAGGAGCCAGUGGCAAUAUUGGGCCGGAAGGUUCGAGGAGGUGACCUGGGAGACCGAGAUGGAUAUGGGAAAUAUUGCAUUAGUGAAGGUUUAGUGGUGGGGUCAGCCGGUCUAGGAGGUGCCCUGAGAGACCGAGAUAGAUAUGGGCAGCCGUUAAACUCAUCUUUUCACUACUUCAGAUAUGUCCUUAUGCUCGUUCGAGGACGAACAAAUGUUUAAGUGUAGGAGGAUGUGAUGACCAGGCCGGUCAACUUAAGAAUUUAUGCCCCGAUCCCCUAUUAACUGCUUCCCCCAAGUUUAUUUCUGCUAUUUUGAUUUGUCGAGAUGUUUGGUUUUAAGUUUCAGAAGUGUUGGGACACUUAAUUCCUAAAUGAGAGGUUAAGUAUUAAAAAAUUGACCGUAGUUGGAACAGUGCAAAGAUAGCCUCGAAAUGGAAAUUCGAUUGUUCCGUUAGCUCCGUUAGGUUAUUUCGGACUCAAGGCGUGUCCAGAUUUUGUUUUGGAGGUCCGUAGCUAAUUUAGUCUUAAAAUGCUGAAAGUUGAAUAUUUGAAGUUUCUGGUUCGAUAGUGAUAUUUUGAUAUGUAUGUCGGAAUGGAAUUCCGAGAGUUGCAGUAGUUACGUUAUGUCAUUUAGGAUAUGUGUGUAAACUUUCAGGUCAUUCAGAGGUGGUUUGGUUGGAUUUUUUUAUCAAAAGCGUAAUUCAAAAGAUUUUGGAAAGCUUAGGCUUAAAUCCGAUGUGUGCUGGUUGAUAUGAUGUCGUUUGAGAUGUGUUGAAGAUUGGCACAAGUUUAAAUAAGGUCUUAGGAUAUGUUGGUGCCUAUGGUUAAGGUCCCGGGGGCCUUGGGUGUGUUUCGGAUACUCAACCGAUAUUUUUAAGUUGUAAAAAAGUUGUAGAAUUGCAAGUUCAGCUAUUGCAGAUAUUUACUCUUCACGUUCGCGAGUGGACCCUCGCAUUCCCGAAGCUUCAGUGCAGUUUAGUGAAAUAUUAGCCUUCGUGUUCGCGAGGAAGGCUCCGUGUUCGCGAAGGGCUGGAUACUUGUGAACUGUGUUCGCGAUUGGAAUUCGCGUUCGCGUAGGAGGAAAAUUGGCCUAGUAGAAUUUACUCAUCGCUUUCGUGAUGUGAGGAAUAUAUUUGCAAAGGUUCGUCUGGGUAAAGACAAACAACUAAUUUAGACAAAAACAUGUUUUUUUGUCUUUUUUUUAAAUGAUGAAACACGUAAACUCUUUUUGGAUUUUCUUUUCCCCUUUUUUGAUUUUUCUUAUUUUUCAGAAAAUGAUGGAAAAAUUGCAAAAUCUUUUUUUGAAUUUUUCAAGUUUUUUUCUUAACAAACAUGUGACAGAAAGCAUAAUUGGGCCCUACUUGCUUUAUUUUCACAUUUCACCCUCUCUUUUCUUCUUUUUAUUUAUUUUUUUUUCUAUUUUCCCUCAACUAUCAUUUAUCCAUCAAAUAACCAUUUUACCCUUGAAGAAAUUCAACAUGUAGCACAAAUGACACAUCAAGAUGGUCUGUUAUUUUGGGUACACCUAUCCUAGACGGACCCAACCUCUAUGUUGAUUCCCCAAAUUCAAAUAUAUGUGGCGCAAACAAACAUUCCUACUAGGGAUCCGGCAUGAGGUUAUUCUCUUCUAAGUUUAAACAUGGGGCUGUUGUGGUAGACUGAGUUUACCAUAGUGGACAAACUUGAGCUAAAGUGGGGUCAAUGUACCGGGAGCACUAAAGUUUGCACAGCAUUAUAGCUGGCCCAUGCCUUGUUCUAUUUAGUACAACUUCUACAGAAAAAGCGGGCCACGGGAAUGUGUGCACCAUAUUCAGAAGACUUAGAGAAAUGGCGUAAGAAGACAAGUAUAUACAAUUCAAACAAUAUCAAAAUGAUAAAUAGACAACAAUUAGCACAAACAUUUACAAAAUAAAGUAAUAUCAACAGUAAAUAAAGCCAAGUAAAAAUCACAUUAACAAGCUCGAAUUCUUAAACCCUGAACCAGAGAUUCUGGGUUGGUAUCCCUAGUAGAGUUUCGAGAGUUGUCACACAUCCUCUUUCUACCCCGAAAGGGUAUUAAGGGAGUUUUUUUCAAUUUAAGUGACAAUCGAAACGAGAUAUUUAUUUGUAAUCAAAGUCGCCACUUAGAAUAGUUUAUGGUGUCCCAAGUCUCUGGUCUAAAUCCCGAAUCGAGGAAGUUGACUCUUAUUUACAGUAUGCGAACACAAAAAUACGGGUAAGAAAUUCUGUUAACUUGGGAGAAGGUGUUAGGAAUUCCCGAGUUCUGUGGUUCUAACACGGUCACUUUGUUCAUACUUGGCUUAAUCAAAUUGUCUAAUUACUGAUAAACCUAUGUGCACUUGCCUUUUUAAUUGGGAAAUUAUCUUGAAACAAGUCACGCGUACGUGUACCUAAUUGUUUUGCGUGUCAAAAUUCAUGUCACGCGUAUGUGUCCACAAUUAAUAACGCUUUAUUAUUGUUAAAAAUGUUUGGCCGAAGUUGCACGAACAUAUGCCCCGAUUUUGUUUUUAAAAUCGUAAUUGUAUCACACGAACGUGUCUACAAUCAUGAUGAUAGAUUAAGCCUCCCAUAAAACAUUUUCUAUGACGUUCAUCAUUUUCCUAAAACUAAUCUGAGAUUAUUGUGAAAGUAAAAAAUUGACAGAUAUGGAGUUACUAGAAGUAAAGAUAUUUUAGCUAAUUAGAGUAGUGACAAACUAUCCACAUGUUAAAGGUGCUUGUAACUCACAUCUCUAUCUUUGAAAUUAUGAGGCAUUUAACUAUUAUGGAUGAGCAUGCCAAUCAUAAUCUACUUAUUGAAAUCACUGGGCCUGGAAAAUCAACUUCUUCGGCCUAUGUUCUCUUUGAUGACUGCAGGUUAAUUACUCUCACAUAAUUGAUGAUUGCAGGUUAAUUCUUGAAACUCCCUUUCAGUUUAAGAGAAGCCAACCGUGCGAUGUAGCUGACUAACUAGCGAAAGGAAUAGGAAAUUCAUAUAGUGAAUAAGCACUUAUAUCCCAAGAAACUUCAACAUGUCUUUACUCAAAAUCCAUUAUUUACCAAAACGAAGACGUCACCGUGCAUUCUACUUUUAUACAUCUAAGUCAGAAUUCAAACAGAGAUUCUAAAAGAACAGUAAAUUCAUGGAUCACAUGCUUCAAACCAGAAGAUAAAGCAGUGGUUUUCUACUGUAAGGACAAAACAUGAACAUAGACUCCUGACUUCCCUUAAAUCAAAAUAUAUGGUCAGCCAAAAACAAAAGCCCAUAUUCCCAUGACCAAUUAGAAAACUAGCAAUUAUUGCAAAAAUAGUCACUACAUCAAUGGAAAAGGGGACAACACAAAUGGCAUACAGUGUUCUUUCGGAAUGAACUAAUCACUUCAUAAAGCAUGCGAUGAGACUAGCGAAACAAAAAAUAACAGUAAUUUUAAAAUACAUGAAGCACAAUGUAAAUUAAUUAAGAGAUGAAUUCAAAUUGAACAAGGACCAUUAUUGUUGCAUAUUUUUUGCCAGGUACAAUGAAAUAAAAUCUUAAAAAAAUAGCAAAACAAAUAAACGAGCUAUAGAUCCGAACCUUGAACCGGCAAAACUCGAAUCACCUCUAUCUAAGGCAUACAAAUGGAGACCAGCCAGAUCUGAAACAGUGACUCCGAAUCUCGACGGCAAUCAAUGAAUCCGGAUCAACCUUUGCUCAUUUGAAUUCCAUCAUUUCGAAGUUUAAAUCAAAAAUCAUAAAUUAAAGAUGAAGACCCUUUUACGUAUGGUUCUGAAAUUUUUAAGAAGAGUUCUUCCCUUUUCUCUAUCUAUUACUAUUCUUCUCUGUCAUAGCAGUAAAAUGGAAAGGGGAAGAGGAUGAGAAAGAAGAGCAGUGGCAGUGUUUGAUUUUUUUGGCGAGUCCGGUGACGAGAAAGAGCGGCGACAGUAGGGAUCUGCAAGAAGAGGGGUGUCACAGCCGUCUAUGAUUUUUCCGUCUUGUGCAUGUGUUUGUAUUAGUGAGAGAAUUCAAGAGAGGAGGGCCGUGGGAAGGGCGAUGUGUGUUCUGCUGUGUUUUUGAGAGGAGGGGCCGUGGGAAGGUUGAAGAAGAAGCAGAAUGGUGUGGACUCUUCUAGAGUCAGCGACAUUGCAUAGAGGGCUUCGUCUAGGGUCUUAGGUCUUUCUUUUAUUCGCUGCUUCUUCUAGUUUGUGAAGAUGAUGUUGACGGGGGAGGGGGUGUGUAUAUAGUAGAAGAACGACGGAUUGUGUAUAGGUCCUGGGGUUUUAGAGUGUAGGUUAUUUUUAGACUACUUUUUGAUUAUACAGAGAGGGUUUUUUGGUUAAGGGGUAAGAAUUAGGUAUUACUGAGCCUCAAAAUU
This 6047-nucleotide long non-coding RNA is filed under the name Nicotiana benthamiana. RNAcentral describes it as "long non-coding RNA (NBEN_LNC033719)". Lineage: Eukaryota; Viridiplantae; Streptophyta; Magnoliopsida; Solanales; Solanaceae. The record is from RNAcentral.